Molecule: long non-coding RNA, 399 nt
Organism: Sitophilus oryzae (rice weevil)
Lineage: Eukaryota; Metazoa; Arthropoda; Insecta; Coleoptera; Curculionidae
Exons: 2
Source: RefSeq, a predicted model, not a curated record
GAAAAUUUGGCAAAAAUAGAGCCGGUCGGCGUCGGCAGCGGUGACGUCACGCGUCAUCCCGGUCCAGGUUAAAGCCUAUGUGCGCGUAGGAUCGCUAUCCCGAACGAGGCCGACGCAUCCCCGGGAUUAGUCAUCUGCCGCCGCCGGCCUCCUUAAGUCAACCUUUCAAAAACGCAGCCUUCAAAUCGGCUCGUGGUGUGUUUGCGAAAGAAGUCUUGUUGGAAAAACAACAGCACAAUUUCCUGAAAUCGAAGACUUUGCGAACAAAGUAGAAGAUAAACGGAAUAGGGAACACGGCACCAAUAUGUCGAAUAUGCAAGUAUCUGUGCCCCAACAAAGUGGAGAAAUUGUAUCUGCUAACAGAGAGGAAGACAGUGAAUGUGUAGAGGAAACUACUUU